AUGGGAUUAGCUAGUAAGUGGGGUAACCGCUCACCUAGGCGACGAUCCCCUAGUGGUCUGAGAGGAUGACCGGCCACACUGGAAACUGAGACACGGUCCAGACUCCUACGGGAGCCACCAGAGGGGAAUAUUGCACAAUGGGCGCAAGCCUGAUGCAGCCAUGCCGCGUGUAUGAAGAAGGCCUUCGGGUUGUAAAGUACUUUCAGCGAGGAGGAAGGUGGUGAGCUUAAUACGCUCAUCGAUUGACGUUACUCGCAGAAGAAGCACCGGCUAACUCCGUGCCAGCAGCCGCGGUAAUACGGAGGGUGCAAGCGUUAAUCGGAAUUACUGGGCGUAAAGCGCACGCAGGCGGUCUGUCAAGUCGGAUGUGAAAUCCCCGGGCUCAACCUGGGAACUGCAUCCGAAACUGGCAGGCUUGGGUCUCGUAGAGGGGGGUAGAAUUCCAGGUGUAGCGGUGAAAUGCGUAGAGAUCUGGAGGAAUACCGGUGGCGAAGACGGCCCACUGG
This 506-nucleotide ribosomal RNA is filed under the name uncultured Gammaproteobacteria bacterium. Its description in RNAcentral is "bacterial SSU rRNA". It matches the Rfam family "Bacterial small subunit ribosomal RNA", at positions 235 to 732 of the family's 1533-position model. The record is from RNAcentral. Lineage: Bacteria; Pseudomonadati; Pseudomonadota; Gammaproteobacteria.